This 253-nucleotide ribosomal RNA is filed under the name uncultured bacterium. Its description in RNAcentral is "partial 16S ribosomal RNA". It matches the Rfam family "Bacterial small subunit ribosomal RNA", at positions 524 to 776 of the family's 1533-position model. The record is from RNAcentral.
UACGUAGGGGGCUAGCGUUGUCCGGAAUCAUUGGGCGUAAAGAGCGUGUAGGCGGUCCGGUAAGUCCGCUGUGAAAGUCGGGGGCUCAACCCUCGAAUGCCGGUGGAUACUGUCGGGCUAGAGUGCGGAAGAGGCGAGUGGAAUUCCUUGUGUAGCGGUGAAAUGCGCAGAUAUCAGGAGGAACACCUAUUGCGAAGGCAGCUCGCUGGGACGUAACUGACGCUGAGACGCGAAAGCGUGGGGAGCAAACAGG